UUUCUAUUUCUCUUUCAUUCUCUUUUCUUCUCUUUCUUCUUCUUCCGUCCCUCUCCUGUUCUUCUUCUGAUAAUGAUUCCGAGAAUUAGUUCAUGAUUCUGAGUUGAUAUAAAGCUGGUAGAGAUCGAAGGUUAACUGAUGGUGGUUCUGUUGGUCGAUCUGGUGAAAUUAAACCCAACAGGAAAGGUAAAACAGAGAUUUGAAUUAGGGUUUUGAGUAUGAAUUCGAGUUUAUAAUAGAAUUGAUGGGUUAAUUGAGCCGUGGAUAGAUGAGAAAACGAGGGUUGUGGAUGAAUUUUUGUAUUGAAGUUGUUCUGUUGAUGAAUUGAAGAGUUAGGGUUCUGGAAGAAAUCCAAAGAAUAAUUUGAAGAUGAAAUUGAGAGUUUAAAGGAGAGUUUUGAGAUGGGUAUUGAUCGAUUGGAUGAACUAGAGUCAGAGAUGAAGAGUAGUUCGAGUUUGAUGUAGUUAGGGUUUUGAUAUUGAUUAUGAAGCUAGGGCUUGGUUCUGUUAAUAAGGAAAUGAUGGAGUUAUCUCUGGUGAUGAAUUGGUUGAUGUUUGAGCAAAUCUGAUUUGAGGUUGUUGAUUGUAGUUGAAGUUUAAAUGAUUGAGUUAGGCAAAUAGUGUUGGUGGUGUUGAAUAAGAGGUGUUGUUGUUGUGUAGGUUAUGUGGUUGUAGAUGAAACUGAAGUUGAGAUGGACAUUGUAUAUAUGUAAUACAACUGUGGUUGUUUUUGAAGAUGAAUGUUUUCUGUGUGGUGUUGAAAUUAGGUAAUAGAUUGUAAGAAGUAUGAUUUGCAAGUGGUGGAAAUUCUGUGAGAUUACAAGGCAAUAGAUAUAAUGGUGACAGUGGUGCUGGUGUUAUAGCUCAUGGUUGGCAGUGAUGUUGAAGUUCAAGGGAUGUGGAUGAACUGAGGUUGCGAUGAAUUGGGUAUUCGUUCUGUUGAUGCUUUGAAGUGUAUGUGACUAAGAAGAUGGUCAUAUCAUUGUUACUGGUAUUGAAUUGUAGGUGGCGCAGGUUUGGUUAACUUCGGAAAUUGGGGAUGGUGAUGAAGCUGAAUUGAUAAAUACAGUUUGUGUUCUGAUGUUGAGAAUGGUGGUGGAUGUGAGAAUCUCAAAUAGAACUGGAGUUAGCUGUGGUGGUAGUUGAGAUGGAGAGAAUGAUUGAAGUUAUUUGUGGAUGGUUAUAAUCUCAACUGAAGUGCAAAUGUUUAGUGUAAAAUUGUACUGAGUUACAAGUUGUAGUGGUGUUGUUGAAGUUGCAGGGGAUAUGAGUGGCUGGUGGAAGUUUAGGAAUUGUUUUGAGAUAUGGAAUAGAGUCAUAGUUACAACUUGUUGAGCUGAAUUGUUUGAUGUAGUGUUGUUGUUUUAGUUGAAGCUUAAAGCAGCCUUUGCAGGUAAAGCUUAAAUUGCAGUUGUAUUGAAAUUAUAAAAUUGUAUAUAAUGAAAGUUUGUAUUUUGAUCAAAUGGA
This is a long non-coding RNA of Papaver somniferum (opium poppy), 1466 nucleotides long. RefSeq lists it as uncharacterized. The record is from RefSeq and is a predicted model, not a curated record. NCBI's taxonomy places the organism in Eukaryota, Viridiplantae, Streptophyta, Magnoliopsida, Ranunculales, Papaveraceae. The transcript is spliced from 2 exons.